Long non-coding RNA from Octopus sinensis (East Asian common octopus), 127 nucleotides. RefSeq lists it as uncharacterized. The record is from RefSeq and is a predicted model, not a curated record. NCBI's taxonomy places the organism in Eukaryota, Metazoa, Mollusca, Cephalopoda, Octopoda, Octopodidae. The transcript has 3 exons.
UUCUGUUAGUUUACACCACUCCGCUCUCAUUACCUCCAUCCACUACAAACACCCUGACUCACACUCUUACCUUAACUUCUCCUUCUCCCACCCUACCCAUACCAAGCUCUCCAUCACCUAUUCCCGA